Long non-coding RNA from Phascolarctos cinereus (koala), 1403 nucleotides. RefSeq lists it as uncharacterized. The record is from RefSeq and is a predicted model, not a curated record. Lineage: Eukaryota; Metazoa; Chordata; Mammalia; Diprotodontia; Phascolarctidae.
GACAAAGUUUAGAGAAGACCUCAAAAUCCCAGCACUCUGGUUAAGAGUUCAUUGAAGUACCAGUAUCUAGAAUGACCCACUCAGCUCAGGUGACAACUAUUCUAUGAUUGUUAAAUAGCAAAAAGGAAGAAGAAUUUGCUCAUUGAAGGGCAAAGUAGAACCAGUGUAAUGCCAUCUAUCUUCUACAAUAGACCUCCAAAUGUUUGAAGACAGCUAUCGUAUCUACCCUCAAUCUCUUCUUUAGAAGUUCAUUUCCAUCCAGCCUCAGACACAUAAUACUAACUAGCUGCAUGACCCUGGAGACUGGUGACAAGGGAUUAGCAGUCAAUUCUUUCAGUAUCUUGGGACACAGGUUAUUUGGGUCUGAAAACUUGAACUCUCUGAUUAAAACUAUGCACUCUUCCUCUCCCACCCCACAAAUGACUAUGUGAGUUUGGAGAUUCUGAGGUCCCAUCAGGGGUCUUACUGGUGACCCAAGUUGGUAGAGGAGUCCACCAGAGUACUAAUAUUAGCUACAGGGGUCAGUAACCAAAAAGCACCCUUUAGAUGGAUAUACCAAGGCACCAGUCCUCAGAUGCCAGAAGAGAGGUGCACCUAAGAGGGACUUCAUGAAGAUUCCAGAAAAGGAAAAGGACCCUGAGAAACCAGGAGUUGUAAGUUUAUCCUUUGGCCUCACUUUGGCCAUGUGCCUCUCUACCCUCAUACUCUAAGUAGAAAUCCAUUCUCUCCAUGGACCUUAUUACGUGCAGGUGGAGAGUGUACUCCUCUUUUGGAGGGGAAUGUUUUUGUAACUACUACUGCUUUUGAUAAACCUCAUAAGUACCCUUUCCGAAAAGCGAAUUGAGGCUACAGGCUGAAUGGAAAGUGCAUCAGUGGAGUGCCCAGUGCAGCAAAGCUAGAAACUCAGAAGAAGAACUUUGAGCAAUAAGUCAGAAGCCUCCAGGGAUGCAGCCAGCCCGUAAGAGCAGGAGCUGAGGAGUGGCCCUGAUAGGGACGCUACAAUAGAAAUAAUAGCUAGCAAUUAUGUAGCGCCCUAAGGUUUGCAAAGCCUUUACAAUUAUUACCUUAAAGAAACAAGGACCCUUUUUAAAAAGUUGGAAAUUUGAGUAAAUCUGCCAGAAACGCCAAAGCAACGGCCAAAGACAGGCAAAGAGCAAAGCCAGGGAAGGUUGGAGGGAGAACUCAUUAAACUAAAAGAUCCACAAACAUUUCUUACCAGCCGGGUACUGUGCCGCUGGAGGGGAGGGAUAGGAAAACCGAAGAGCUUACAUCCUGAUGCUAUGUGCACAAAUAAGUAUACACGAAAUAAAUAAAUGAUCUUGAGGGAGAGAAUGGACCUUUGGGGACUUUUCCAGGAAUUAGUCCUUUUUAAAGUGCAUUUGUGGUGGCACAAGGCCGGAAUA